UAUAAAAAAGAAGAUGUGGUAUGAUUGCCAAUGAGACAACUAUCCACAAAAGACCAAAAUGACACAGACAUUAGCAACUAUAGGUCACCGUACGGCCUUCAACAAUGAGCAAAGCUCAUACCGCAUAGUCAUCUAUAAAAGGCCCCGAAAAGACAAUGUAAUACAGUUCAAACGAGAAAACUAACGGCCUUAUUUAUGUACAAAAUGAACGAAAAUCAAAUAUG
This 224-nucleotide long non-coding RNA is filed under the name Mytilus galloprovincialis (Mediterranean mussel). The record is from RNAcentral. Lineage: Eukaryota; Metazoa; Mollusca; Bivalvia; Mytilida; Mytilidae.